GCGGGUGUAGUUCAGUGGUAGAACCUCAGCCUUCCAAGCUGAUGACGGCGGUUCAAUUCCGCUCACCCGCUCCA
Molecule: transfer RNA, 74 nt
Filed under: Gammaproteobacteria bacterium
Lineage: Bacteria; Pseudomonadati; Pseudomonadota; Gammaproteobacteria
Description: tRNA-Gly
Rfam family: tRNA
About the family: Transfer RNA (tRNA) molecules are approximately 80 nucleotides in length. Their secondary structure includes four short double-helical elements and three loops (D, anti-codon, and T loops). Further hydrogen bonds mediate the characteristic L-shaped molecular structure. tRNAs have two regions of fundamental functional importance: the anti-codon, which is responsible for specific mRNA codon recognition, and the 3' end, to which the tRNAs corresponding amino acid is attached (by aminoacyl-tRNA synthetases). tRNAs cope with the degeneracy of the genetic code in two manners: having more than one tRNA (with a specific anti-codon) for a particular amino acid; and 'wobble' base-pairing, i.e. permitting non-standard base-pairing at the 3rd anti-codon position.
Source: RNAcentral